Molecule: ribosomal RNA, 312 nt
Filed under: Triticum aestivum (bread wheat)
Lineage: Eukaryota; Viridiplantae; Streptophyta; Magnoliopsida; Poales; Poaceae
Description: partial small subunit ribosomal RNA
Source: RNAcentral
AUGGCUGUCUGCCCCGUCCCCGUCGCCGAGGAGGAGCUCGCGCUCGGGAAGGACGAGGAGACGGCCGCCUCCGGGGAGCAGCAGAAGGAGGAGGGGCACGCGGCGGCGGCGACGAUGGGCGCGGCCCCGCCGUCCUGCCCUGCCCGCCAUGGCUGCCAUGGACGAGCUCGAGCUCGACUGGGGAGCAAGGGGCCGCCCCGCCCGUCCCGCUCUCCAUGGCCAUGGCCAUGGCCGAUGACCGCGGCCCCGCCCGCCGCGGCGACCAUGGACGAGCUCGAGCUCGAUGGGGGAGCAACGGGGAGAGGAACGUGA